Molecule: ribosomal RNA, 361 nt
Filed under: uncultured Streptococcus sp.
Lineage: Bacteria; Bacillati; Bacillota; Bacilli; Lactobacillales; Streptococcaceae
Description: bacterial SSU rRNA
Rfam family: Bacterial small subunit ribosomal RNA
Source: RNAcentral
CGGUACAUCGGUGACAGGUGGUGCAUGGUUGUCGUCAGGCUCGUGUCGUGAGAUGUUGGGUUAAGUCCCGCAACGAGCGCAACCCCUAUUGUUAGUUGCCAUCAUUCAGUUGGGCACUCUAGCGAGACUGCCGGUAAUAAACCGGAGGAAGGUGGGGAUGACGUCAAAUCAUCAUGCCCCUUAUGACCUGGGCUACACACGUGCUACAAUGGUUGGUACAACGAGUUGCGAGUCGGUGACGGCGAGCUAAUCUCUUAAAGCCAAUCUCAGUUCGGAUUGUAGGCUGCAACUCGCCUACAUGAAGUCGGAAUCGCUAGUAAUCGCGGAUCAGCACGCCGCGGUGAAUACGUUCCCGGGCCUU